GUUGCAGUUCAGCCAGUUAUAAAACCCCCCCAUCUCCUAAGGGACUUUCUUUCUAUACUUCUUUGCUCUAGAGGAUUAGAAGUAAAACAGAUGUUAUCUUAGAAGUGCAAUUAAAAAGGAAAUAAAAACAGAGCAUUGCAUUUUGGGGUAGGACAGACUCACAGGAAGCUUCAAACUAGUAAGAAGACAUCAAUUUUUCUGUACCUGGUCAGCUGCUGGAUCUUUGGAGAGAGAGAUCAUGCAGCAGAGUUUGAAUGUGACUCUAUCCAGAAUUUCCUUAUCUCUCUGAGUCUGCUGGGAGUCUGAAAAACUGCUCUGAGCAAAGAAGUCAAGUAUGAGCCAUUUUCAAAAGAUUUUUGAUAUAUAGAACAGAAAAGGGGAGGAAGAAAGAGUCCAGAAAAAUUCAUCUGCUGCUGUUUCAAACUCGGGGACAGCAGCCCUGCUUCAAUACUGCAGAAGAAACAUUACUCCAGUGUCCCACCACUCUGGACAAGUGGGAAGAAAACAAGCAGCAAACAAGGCAGACAAAAUUGGAAGUAAUCACGAAAAUAUAGGGCGUUGAGGGAG
Molecule: long non-coding RNA, 567 nt
Filed under: Corvus moneduloides (New Caledonian crow)
Lineage: Eukaryota; Metazoa; Chordata; Aves; Passeriformes; Corvidae
Description: lncRNA (ENSCMUG00000018281.1)
Source: RNAcentral